UCCAGACUCCUACGGGAGGCAGCAGUGGGGAAUAUUGGGCAAUGGGCGCAAGCCUGACCCAGCAACGCCGCGUGAAGGAAGAAGGCUCUCGGGUUGUAAACUUCUUUUAUCAGGGACGAAGCAAGUGACGGUACCUGAUGAAUAAGCCACGGCUAACUACGUGCCAGCAGCCGCGGUAAUACGUAGGGAGCAAGCGUUAUCCGGAAUUAUUGGGUGUAAAGGGUGCGUAGACGGGAUAACAAGUUGGUUGUGAAACCCCUCGGCUCAACUGAGGAACUGCAACCAAAACUAUUAUUCUUGAGUGCAGGAGAGGAAAGUGGAAUUCCUAGUGUAGCGGUGAAAUGCGUAGAUAUUAGGAAGAACACCGGUGGCGAAGGCGGCCUGCUGGACCGUGACUGACGUUGAGGCUCGAGAGCGUGGGGAGCAAACAGGAUUAGAUACCCCAGUACC
Molecule: ribosomal RNA, 450 nt
Filed under: uncultured bacterium
Lineage: Bacteria
Description: partial 16S ribosomal RNA
Rfam family: Bacterial small subunit ribosomal RNA
Source: RNAcentral